RNAcentral lists this ribosomal RNA (163 nucleotides) under uncultured Bacteroidota bacterium. RNAcentral describes it as "uncultured Bacteroidetes bacterium partial 16S ribosomal RNA". It matches the Rfam family "Bacterial small subunit ribosomal RNA", at positions 334 to 492 of the family's 1533-position model. Lineage: Bacteria; Pseudomonadati; Bacteroidota. The record is from RNAcentral.
GACUCCUACGGGAGGCAGCAGUGAGGAAUAUUGGUCAAUGGGCGAGAGCCUGAACCAGCCAAGUCGCGUGAAGGAAGAAGGAUCUAUGGUUCGUAAACUUCUUUUGCAGGGGAAUAAAGUGCAGGAACGUGUGCCUGUUUUGUAUGUACCUCGAAUGGGUACU